Molecule: ribosomal RNA, 739 nt
Filed under: uncultured Archaeospora
Lineage: Eukaryota; Fungi; Glomeromycota; Glomeromycetes; Archaeosporales; Archaeosporaceae
Description: LSU rRNA
Rfam family: Eukaryotic large subunit ribosomal RNA
Source: RNAcentral
UAAGCGGAGGAAAAGAAACUAACAAUGAUUCCCUUAGUAACGGCGAGUGAAGGGGGAAAAGCUCAAAUUUUUAAAUCGGCAUAGGUUUACCUAGUCGAGUUGUAAUUUGAAGAAGCGUUUACCGCAUCCAGGUCGGCCCAAAUCCUUUGGGAUAAGGUAUCAUGGAGGGUGAGAAUCCCGUCCGGUUGACCUCAGGAUGUUUUACGUUACGCUCUCUAAGAGUCGAGUUGUUUGGGAUUGCAGCUCAAAAUGGGUGGUAAAUUCCAUCUAAGGCUAAAUAUUGGCGAGAGACCGAUAGCGAACAAGUACCGUGAGGGAAAGAUGAAAAGAACUUUGAAAAGAGAGUUAAACAGUACGUGAAAUUGUUGAUAGGGAAACGAUUGAAGUCAGUCAUGCCAGUGAGAAAUCAGCUUACAGGCUACUGUGAGUGCACUUUUUCGCAAGGCAGGUUAACAUCGGUUUUCGUUGCGUCAAAUGAUUGUAGGAAGGUGGCUCCUUCGGGAGUGUUAUAGCCUACUUUAGAUGGCGCGACGAGGACCGAGGAUUGCAGCGAAUGCCUUUGGCUACGGAUCUUUUCUCUGUUGAUCUUUAGUUGAUCGUCAGCUUUGCUGACGAGCGGUUGAUAGGUUUGCAAUAGGAUGGAAUCCGAUAAAUUCGCUAAGGAUGUUGACGUAAUGGCUUUAAACGACCCUGUCUUGAAACACGGAUCCAAGGAGUCUAAUCAUAUAUGCGAGUGUUA